Molecule: long non-coding RNA, 1122 nt
Organism: Daphnia pulex (common water flea)
Lineage: Eukaryota; Metazoa; Arthropoda; Branchiopoda; Diplostraca; Daphniidae
Exons: 3
Source: RefSeq, a predicted model, not a curated record
GGCGAAUCGAUCGCCUGCCCAGAGGAGAUCCAAGCGCUGCCGGCCUGGGUUGAGCUGGAAGAUGUCCGAUACACGUAGGCUCGCCCGUCCUUUGGCCCACCGCUGUUGCUGGAUGGCAACUUGUACAAGACGAACCUGGCGGACCAAUGCGGAGGAAGAAAAGGAUGUGGGGGAUGGAGAACAAGAAGACAAAUCAACAGAAUUGUAACAGCAACACUCGUGACGACGACGACGACUACUCUAGGAAAUAUCUCAUCUCUGCAGUUUGUUUGUGCGCCUCUGUUUAGCGGUCGCUCGAUUCCUGGAGUGUUUAUUCAGGCGGAAACACGCUCGUUCCCAAAAUAUUUCCAUUGCUUUAACGGAACAUGUCGCUGCUUUUCCAAUUCACUUUAUCGCCCACAAGAUACGACACGUUUUCGACGGUUUUCGAGUUGUAAAAACGUCUUUGUCUACCCCGUUUCUUUCGUCUCGAUUUCAAGUGCGGAUGGAAAUAGACCAAGGAUCGAUAGUUCGAAAACGGUGACGAGCUCUUCGAAAUGAGAAGACAAAUAAGUCAGUAGACUCCUUCUUUUUGCUUCAUUCAACUACUCCCAUCAAGAGUCUCCCCAUCACUGAAACUUGGAAUUAAAAUCAAUAGCUGUUGGGUUUUGUGGUGUCUCGUUCCGUCAGAAAUAGAAAAUAUGCCUUUCAGUUUCCGCUUUGCUCAAAAUUGCCUCAACUCUUUCAUCUCUCAUUUCAAUUUCUUUUCCCAUUUCUUCUCCUUUUCCCCGAAACAUACUAAUGCCAACACCAAUUAUUGGAGAAUCAUCCGUUCUAACGAGAUUUGUGAAUGGGUCGGCCGGCGCUCUCAUCAUUGUCGAUUCUGGCCCUCUGUUAAGUGCAAAGAUGAUAAGUGCGGAGCUUGAAAUGACAGGAACCAAGUUACCAGUCUUUUUCAAAUCAGUAAUGAGGCUUAUAGUCAAACUGGUGAGAGGCGGAUGAAAAGAGUAGUAGAGUAGAGUGCGAAUGAGACAGAAGCAGAAUAGAAAAUUCCAAUUCCAAACGGGGGACAUUUGGGUCAUUGAAAAUGAUGAAAGCGAGUUGAUAACAAACCUGAGAAUAGCCGUAGACUUGAAUGGAGCG